This 253-nucleotide ribosomal RNA is filed under the name uncultured bacterium. RNAcentral describes it as "partial 16S ribosomal RNA". It matches the Rfam family "Bacterial small subunit ribosomal RNA", at positions 524 to 776 of the family's 1533-position model. The record is from RNAcentral.
GACGAACCGUGCAAACGUUAUUCGGAAUCACUGGGCUUAAAGGGCGCGUAGGCGGGCUCGCCAGUCAGGGGUGAAAUCCUCCAGCUCAACUGGAGAAGUGCCUUUGAUACUGCGAGCCUUGAGGGAGGUAGGGGCGUGCGGAACUUCCGGUGGAGCGGUGAAAUGCGUAGAUAUCGGAAGGAACACCGGUGGCGAAAGCGGCGCGCUGGACCUCUUCUGACGCUGAGGCGCGAAAGCCAGGGGAGCAAACGGG